Molecule: long non-coding RNA, 2127 nt
Organism: Heterocephalus glaber (naked mole-rat)
Lineage: Eukaryota; Metazoa; Chordata; Mammalia; Rodentia; Bathyergidae
Source: Ensembl
CCACCUAUGAGCAGCGACCUAACAUUACAGCGGACUGGAAAAAGAGCCUCCUAGAUUUCUUCAAGGUAUACCCAGGAUCGGAGCUCUCUGCGAUCCAAAAGUAGCUCGCCACUUUCCUUCAGAAACCCCUUUCGCUUUCCUCCCUUCUUAGACUUGUAGGGAGUAGGUUGCGAGGUAAACGGUGGUGUCGAGGCCACGAGCAAGGACAGGCUCUCCGCAGCCUAACCUGCACCUCCGGGCCGAAACGCCUGGGGCUCUUCCUGCAGCAAGGGUGCGGCCAACCCUCGUUUCCCCAGGGCAGGGCUCAGCUCAGGUCGCUGCAACCAGGCAAGUCAGGCCCAGACCCGGCCGUCUCAGCCCGCCAGUCCGCAGCAGCCCCUGGACCCCCGCCAGCGGGGAUGGGCGUGGGCACCGGCGGCCACCGCCCCGACAACUCCCGCUCGAAUGCAUUGUGAGCCCCACCCGCUAGGCCAACCCCGGACCUACCUGCAGGGGAGAGCGGGGCUCCUGGUCAGCGGCCACGGGCCCGAGGACCGGCGCUUUGGAGACCAGAGCCAGUCCCGGAAGCUCCAAGUAUCCCGGGUGAAGCAGGGCGAGCGGAGACGCCCGGGGGCUGCCGCGGGCCGGCGCGACCCGAUGCAGGGGUCGCCGGGACCUGGCUCUCCCCUUACCACCAGGCCACCGCCGCCGCCGCCAUUUUGCCUUCCACUCCGUGUCGCCGCCGCCGCCGCACUCCGCUGCAGGUUUCCCGGAUGUGGGCAUUUCCCGGCGUCGCUUGCGCGGGGGCCGAGGACUGGGGGCUUCUGGCUGCCAGGCCGCGGAGAGCUACCGUGCAGCCUGCGACCUCUGUGCCGAGGCCUGUUCCCGCUGCUCCGAACAUGGGGAAGCGUCGUCCCACGUUGCUCCCACCUGCCGCUUCCCGCAUGACUCGCUCGCGUUGGUGGCAAGAAGCUGUCCGCCGCCCAGGUCUACUCCGCGCGUGCGAUCGUUCUCUUUUCCAUUGAGCUUUCUCUGGUCGGAGAGAACGGAUACGCGUCCAGUCUCAGGAAGAAGUGUAGUGAGCUAGCUCUGAAACCUCCCUGUGGACGUCAAGGCUCAAGACGUAUUUACUUAAAAUCUCAUUCCUGCGUAGCACUCUUUCCCCGAGUAUAUCUGUGAGCUUAGAGUACUGAAUAUGUAUUUUCUGAAUCAGCCAAAUAAUACAUUGUUGAAUCAGGACUAGCAGAGUUGAGAUCUGUCAGCCGAAUCCGUAGAGGAUUCGUUAUUGCCUUAAUUGGGAUUACGUUGACGGUUCGAGUCUCGUUAAAUUGAAUUUCUCAAAGUCUGGGUUGGUAUCAUUGGGAUUGUGAUGUUUAAUAGUUCUGUCAAAAAAUAAAUAAAAAUAAAAUAAAAGUGCUGUCCGCCUUUUGUAAAUAAAAGCACCUUUUAAAAUGUUGCCUCUAGAAAGUAUGUAGUCAUUAUUUUCAGAUAUCUUUUUGUCAUUUUUUUUUUCUACUAGAGAUUAUGAAAAUUAAAAAUGACUGCUUUUUUGGUGUGUGUAAUGGUGGUACUGAGGAUUUAGGGUACAAGAUAUAGUCUGCACACGGUAGGCAAGCACUCUAGCCCUAAACUACACCACCAGCCCUUUUAUUUUGAGACAGGGUUUCACUGAAUUGCCCAGGCUGGCCUGAACUUGCACCCCUCCUGCCUCAGCAUCCAACCCCUCUCCCAGACUAGUUUUUCUGGUGAUACAUUAAUUACUGGCUACAGUAGAGUUCAAAUGUGAAAACCUUUGUUAAAAGAUUACAUUUCAAGCCCUCAAGGGGCUGUCUAAAGGCACUCAGAAUGGUCCAGAGUUUGACAUACCAUCACAGGCUUUCCUACAAUGCAAGCUCUUAACAAAACUAGGCUAUGCCAAGGCCCUGGUAAUAGAAUUGUUUACCUUUAUACGAAGAAUAUCGAGAAAGUGUCAAAAUCUGCAUGUAGCAGACUGAGAAGUUCCAGCUGUGAGACCUAAAGUUCUUAUGAAAUUGUCUAAAAGGAACUAAUGUCAGCAGGGCCUAUGGUGGUUCAUGUGUGCCAAAUGUGUCCCUGACAGGACUAAAUGUGCUUUCCUUAUUGAGGAGCAGAAAAUCAUCAGGAAAGUGU